CUGAGUUACGGUGAGCUAGAGACGCCAUGCUAACCACUAAGCUAACCCUACAUCUGAAAGCAUGUCCGCCACUCUUUGGGAUAGCGAGAAAGUUGCUAAAAUACGAAUACAGCAUCGAGUGCUGGAGCAGAUCUAGUGCAUGUGUAAAUAUGUAUGAAUUACUUAGAUGUAACAGUUUGUUCUCGUUAAGUUUUUUCAUCAACGUGACUUUUUUCUGUAUGUUUUCACAGCCUCAGCCCCCCCCCCCUCCACACACACACACACACACACAAACAAAGAGGCGUUAGGCUGAGACGCUGAAAGUCCGGAUUUAAAGUGCAGAAAAUUAAGCCAUUGAAUCUGCCUGUCCAUGACGUACAAAGACACACUAUGAGCCAGUAUGAUCCGACCAGACCUUACAUCAGCAUUGAGGAGUUGUCGGAGAAGAAAGAGGCUGAUUGAAGCGGGACAGAUGACAUGGAUCCAUCCUUCCACAGCCAGGAGCGCACCGACCUGUGUCCCACACUUCAUAUAAGACUGGAAGCUACACUGAUCUCACAGCUACACACCACAGACGUCUACACACUGGAGAAGAGUCCCACAAAGAAGUCAUGACCCAGAGGCUGCAGAGAAACAUUUCAAGCCUCAUCUGAGUUUUUGUACAAUAUUUUUGCUGUAUGUAAAUAAAGCUUUCACUCCACAUA
This is a long non-coding RNA of Limanda limanda (common dab), 683 nucleotides long. RefSeq lists it as uncharacterized. NCBI's taxonomy places the organism in Eukaryota, Metazoa, Chordata, Actinopteri, Pleuronectiformes, Pleuronectidae. The transcript is spliced from 3 exons. The record is from RefSeq and is a predicted model, not a curated record.